RNAcentral lists this ribosomal RNA (219 nucleotides) under Aspergillus sydowii. RNAcentral describes it as "partial 28S large subunit ribosomal RNA". It matches the Rfam family "Eukaryotic large subunit ribosomal RNA", at positions 3176 to 3399 of the family's 3401-position model. The record is from RNAcentral. Lineage: Eukaryota; Fungi; Ascomycota; Eurotiomycetes; Eurotiales; Aspergillaceae.
UCGUAGUUGGAUACGACUCGGCCUUCGGGCCAUGCACCUCAGCCGGCUGGCGACGGCUCCCGGGGCGUUACCCUCGAGAGCUGGCUAGCGGAUUGUAAUGUCACCUAGCGCGGGGAUAGAUCCUCUGCAGACGACUAAAGUGACCAAGCGGGUCGUGUAAGCGGUCAAGUAGCCUUGUUGCUACGAGUCGCUGAGCGUCACCCGACCUUGGCUAGAUUU